This 204-nucleotide ribosomal RNA is filed under the name Alexandrium margalefii. Its description in RNAcentral is "partial Bacterial large subunit ribosomal RNA". It matches the Rfam family "Bacterial large subunit ribosomal RNA", at positions 895 to 1098 of the family's 2925-position model. The record is from RNAcentral. Lineage: Eukaryota; Dinophyceae; Gonyaulacales; Pyrocystaceae.
UUUAGGGGUAAAGCACUGUUACGUAUGCGGGCUGGUAAUUCGGUACCAAAUCGUUGCAAACUAAGAAUACUAAAUGUACAGUUCACCAGUAAGACUGUGGGGGAUAAGCUCCAUUGUCAAGAGGGAAACAGCCCAGAGCACCAGUUAAGGCCCCCAAAUAAUUGCUAAGUGGUAAAGGAGGUGGGAUUGCAGAAACAAUCAGGA